UCCCAUAGCUCAACAGGAUAGAGCAACUGCCUUCUAAGCAGUAGGUUGGAUGUUCGAGUCAUCCUGGGAUCGCCA
Molecule: transfer RNA, 75 nt
Filed under: bacterium
Lineage: Bacteria
Description: tRNA-Arg
Rfam family: tRNA
About the family: Transfer RNA (tRNA) molecules are approximately 80 nucleotides in length. Their secondary structure includes four short double-helical elements and three loops (D, anti-codon, and T loops).
Source: RNAcentral